This 468-nucleotide ribosomal RNA is filed under the name uncultured bacterium. Its description in RNAcentral is "partial 16S ribosomal RNA". It matches the Rfam family "Bacterial small subunit ribosomal RNA", at positions 28 to 507 of the family's 1533-position model. The record is from RNAcentral.
GACGAACGCUGGCGGCGUGCUUAACACAUGCAAGUCGAACGGAAAGGCCCUGCUUUUUUGGGGUGCUCGAGUGGCGAACGGGUGAGUAACACGUGAGUAACCUGCCCUUGACUUUGGGAUAACUUCAGGAAACUGGGGCUAAUACCGGAUAGGAGCUCCUGCUGCAUGGUGGGGGUUGGAAAGUUUCGGCGGUUGGGGAUGGACUCGCGGCUUAUCAGCUUGUUGGUGGGGUAGUGGCUUACCAAGGCUUUGACGGGUAGCCGGCCUGAGAGGGUGACCGGCCACAUUGGGACUGAGAUACGGCGCAGACUCCUACGGGAGGCAGCAGUGGGGAAUAUUGCACAAUGGGCGGAAGCCUGAUGCAGAAACGCCGCGUGCGGGAUGACGGCCUUCGGGUUGUAAACCGCUUUCGCCUGUGACGAAGCGUGAGUGACGGUAAUGGGUAAAGAAGCACCGGCUAACUACGUG